Aedes albopictus (Asian tiger mosquito) is the source of this 911-nucleotide long non-coding RNA. RefSeq lists it as uncharacterized. The transcript is spliced from 2 exons. The record is from RefSeq and is a predicted model, not a curated record. NCBI's taxonomy places the organism in Eukaryota, Metazoa, Arthropoda, Insecta, Diptera, Culicidae.
AUUUAAGUUUUCCGGAGGAAAAAUGUCGUCAGCCACGGUUCCGUACCUUUCGUCAUCGAGGAGGAGCUUAAUCCCAACGGAGCACUGAAACUACUGAAACGAUUAGGACACCCACACGGCCACGGCCACACCGUAAGUGUACUUUUGGCAGUCGGCCGACUUCUGGCCUACCUGGUGAACAUUCUGUGCGGACGUCUUCUAACGGGAUUGCGCUGGUGGAACUGUAAACGAUUACGGCCAGGUGCAUUAGGUGUUUGAAUUGAAGAACGGCGAUGCCGGGUACGAAUCGAAGGACAACCCACACAAGGCGUACAUUUUCUUCCGAGCUGGUAGUUCGUCGGUAUUGGCAAUAUCUUCCGUUGUAUGGGGGCUGUUCCUGGUGGUGACACCGACAAUGUUCCAGUUCCAUUUGACCAUGGAUGCUGCUGGUCAUCAUUGCCUACGGAACUAAUCCAGAUAUAUUAAAUGCAAUUUGGAACCCAAUGCCAAUCUCAAAGUUACGAUUACCGAUUUCGCCCGCUGAAGAAUACCGUCAAUCUUAUUAGCCGCUAAGGAGCAGCUCGACACUGCGUAGUAACGUUUUUGAUCUCUAUGUGCAAUAUUUGUUACACAAUAGUCCUGUUCAAUGAAGUAGGUUGAACAUUGUUGAAGUUGUUGAAUCCUCUUACCAAUUUGUCAACAAAAUGUAAUGAGUGAGAGCAGGAUGCAGCAACUUCAACAAUGUUCAACCUACUUCAUUGAACAGGACUAAUGUGUUACCGAUGUGUGGAAACUAGUCAGGUCCGAAGAAGGUGGUCAUUCACGAAUGAAUCAAUGUAUAGCACUAGCCACUAGUAUAGCCAGUACGGGUAAAAGCAGGUAGUCCGAGAGAUGUCGGAAUAGUUACGGAAUAAAGCUGUAUUUAGCAAGAA